AAUAAGGAUUCAUUGUGGUGGAGGGACCUAAAGAUAAUUUUUCAAGCCUCACAACAGGGCGAGCAGCUCAAAAAAGGGAUCAUGUGGAGGGUGGGGAGAGGGGACAGGUUUAAAUUCUGGGAAGACGAGUGGAUACAAGGAGAGGCCUCAUUAAUCACAAAGUAUCCAAGACUGUUUGUAGUCUCCCAACAACAGAACCAGACAAUCCAGCAGUUGGGAGAUUUUAAGGACAAUGAAUGGGAGUGGAACUUGUCAUGGAGGAGGCCAUUGUUUGACAAUGAGAUAAUAAUGGCUUCAAAUUUCCUAAGGGACAUUGAGAGGAACACAAUACAGUGAAACAGAAGGGAUGAGUGGGUGUGGAAG
Molecule: unclassified non-coding RNA, 363 nt
Filed under: uncultured fungus
Lineage: Eukaryota; Fungi
Description: sequence contains ITS1
Source: RNAcentral